UGGGGAAUAUUGCACAAUGGGCGCAAGCCUGAUGCAGCCAUGCCGCGUGUGUGAAGAAGGCCUUCGGGUUGUAAAGCACUUUCAGCGGGGAGGAAGGCGGUGAGGUUAAUAACCUCAUCGAUUGACGUUACCCGCAGAAGAAGCACCGGCUAACUCCGUGCCAGCAGCCGCGGUAAUACGGAGGGUGCAAGCGUUAAUCGGAAUUACUGGGCGUAAAGCGCACGCAGGCGGUCUGUCAAGUCGGAUGUGAAAUCCCCGGGCUCAACCUGGGAACUGCAUUCGAAACUGGCAGGCUAGAGUCUUGUAGAGGGGGGUAGAAUUCCAGGUGUAGCGGUGAAAUGCGUAGAGAUCUGGAGGAAUACCGGUGGCGAAGGCGGCCCCCUGGACAAAGACUGACGCUAAGGUGCGAAAGCGUGGGGAGCAAACAGG
This 429-nucleotide ribosomal RNA is filed under the name Chloroflexota bacterium. RNAcentral's name for it is "Chloroflexi bacterium partial 16S ribosomal RNA". It matches the Rfam family "Bacterial small subunit ribosomal RNA", at positions 355 to 776 of the family's 1533-position model. The record is from RNAcentral. Lineage: Bacteria; Bacillati; Chloroflexota.